This is a long non-coding RNA of Paramormyrops kingsleyae, 296 nucleotides long. RefSeq lists it as uncharacterized. Lineage: Eukaryota; Metazoa; Chordata; Actinopteri; Osteoglossiformes; Mormyridae. The record is from RefSeq and is a predicted model, not a curated record.
UAGACAACAGUACCGAGGUGUACGUCCUCAUCGUGUGCGGCUUGGCAGCGGUGGUCUUCCUCUGUCUGUUCACCUGUGGAGCAAAAUACUUCCUAAAGAGAGACAUCGCCAGGGCCAGACACGAACAUAAAGAGCAGAGACCAGUAACUGAAGUCUCCACCCUCUGAUUCCAAACAGAAAUGCUGCUCCAGACUGAGACAUGAAGACUUAAAUGAAUAUGAAUGGGUUUUCUUUCCUUGUUUGUCAUACUCUAGACCAGGGGUGUCAAACUCCAGUCCUGGGGGGGCGGAGCCCUG